AUCAACUUUCGAUGGUAGGAUAGAGGCCUACCAUGGUGGUAACGGGUAACGGGGUGUUAGGGCACGACACCGGAGAGGGAGCCUGAGAAACGGCUACCACAUCCAAGGAUGGCAGCAGGCGCGCAAAUUACCCAAUCCCGACACGGGGAGGUAGUGACAAUAAAUAACAAUACGGGGUUCUUUAGGAUCUCGUAAUUGGAAUGAGUACAAUUUAAAUCUCUUAACGAGGAACAAUUGGAGGGCAAGUCUGGUGCCAGCAGCCGCGGUAAUUCCAGCUCCAAUAGCGUAUAUUAAAGUUGUUGCAGUUAAAAAGCUCGUAGUUGAAUUUCGGGGUUAGUAGGUUGGUCAUGCCUCUGGUAUGUACUGGUCUCACUGAUUCCUCCUUCCUGAUGAACCUUAAUGCCAUUUAUUUGGUGUUUUGGGGAAUUUGGACUGUUACUUUGAAAAAAUUAGAGUGUUUAAAGCAAGCUAACGCUUGAAUACAUUAGCAUGGAAUAAUGAAAUAGGACGUUCGAUCCUAUUUUGUUGGUUUCUAGGAUUGACGUAAUGAUUAAUAGGGAUAGUUGGGGGCAUUAGUAUUCAAUUGUCAGAGGUGAAAUUCUUGGAUUUAUUGAAGACUAACUACUGCGAAAGCAUUUGCCAAGGAUGUUUUCAUUAAUCAAGAACGAAAGUUAGGGGAUCGAAGACGAUCAGAUACCGUCGUAGUCUUAACCAUAAACUAUGCCGACUAGGGAUCGGAUGAUGUUAAUUUUUUAAUGACUCAUUCGGCGCCCUACGGGAAACCAAAGUGUUUGGGUUC
This 799-nucleotide ribosomal RNA is filed under the name uncultured Glomeromycotina. Its description in RNAcentral is "SSU rRNA". It matches the Rfam family "Eukaryotic small subunit ribosomal RNA", at positions 314 to 1114 of the family's 1831-position model. The record is from RNAcentral. Lineage: Eukaryota; Fungi; Glomeromycota.